CCUACGGGCGGCAGCAGUAGGGAAUUUUGCGCAAUGGGCGAAAGCCUGACGCAGCAACGCCGCGUGAUCGAGACGCCCUUCGGGGUGUAAAGAUCUGUCAGUGGGGACGAAACUUGACGGUAUCCAACCAGAAAGUCACGGCUAACUACGUGCCAGCAGCCGCGGUAAUACGUAGGUGGCAAGCGUUAUCCGGAUUUAUUGGGCGUAAAGAGUUCGUAGGCGGCACGUAAAGUCUGGUGUUAAAGGCAGAGGCUCAACUUCUGUACGGCACGGGAUACUUGCGAGCUAGAAUGCGGUAGAGGUAAAGGGAAUUCCUGGUGUAGCGGUGAAAUGCUUAGAUAUCAGGAGGAACAUCGGUGGCGUAAGCGCUUUACUGGGCCGUAAUUGACGCUGAGGAACGAAAGCCAGGGUAGCAAAUGGGAUUAGAUACCCUUGUAGUC
Molecule: ribosomal RNA, 440 nt
Filed under: uncultured bacterium
Lineage: Bacteria
Description: partial 16S ribosomal RNA
Rfam family: Bacterial small subunit ribosomal RNA
Source: RNAcentral